Molecule: ribosomal RNA, 1452 nt
Filed under: Bacillus amyloliquefaciens
Lineage: Bacteria; Bacillati; Bacillota; Bacilli; Caryophanales; Bacillaceae
Description: bacterial SSU rRNA
Rfam family: Bacterial small subunit ribosomal RNA
Source: RNAcentral
AUGCAGUCGAGCGGACAGAUGGGAGCUUGCUCCCUGAUGUUAGCGGCGGACGGGUGAGUAACACGUGGGUAACCUGCCUGUAAGACUGGGAUAACUCCGGGAAACCGGGGCUAAUACCGGAUGGUUGUUUGAACCGCAUGGUUCAGACAUAAAAGGUGGCUUCGGCUACCACUUACAGAUGGACCCGCGGCGCAUUAGCUAGUUGGUGAGGUAACGGCUCACCAAGGCAACGAUGCGUAGCCGACCUGAGAGGGUGAUCGGCCACACUGGGACUGAGACACGGCCCAGACUCCUACGGGAGGCAGCAGUAGGGAAUCUUCCGCAAUGGACGAAAGUCUGACGGAGCAACGCCGCGUGAGUGAUGAAGGUUUUCGGAUCGUAAAGCUCUGUUGUUAGGGAAGAACAAGUGCCGUUCAAAUAGGGCGGCACCUUGACGGUACCUAACCAGAAAGCCACGGCUAACUACGUGCCAGCAGCCGCGGUAAUACGUAGGUGGCAAGCGUUGUCCGGAAUUAUUGGGCGUAAAGGGCUCGCAGGCGGUUUCUUAAGUCUGAUGUGAAAGCCCCCGGCUCAACCGGGGAGGGUCAUUGGAAACUGGGGAACUUGAGUGCAGAAGAGGAGAGUGGAAUUCCACGUGUAGCGGUGAAAUGCGUAGAGAUGUGGAGGAACACCAGUGGCGAAGGCGACUCUCUGGUCUGUAACUGACGCUGAGGAGCGAAAGCGUGGGGAGCGAACAGGAUUAGAUACCCUGGUAGUCCACGCCGUAAACGAUGAGUGCUAAGUGUUAGGGGGUUUCCGCCCCUUAGUGCUGCAGCUAACGCAUUAAGCACUCCGCCUGGGGAGUACGGUCGCAAGACUGAAACUCAAAGGAAUUGACGGGGGCCCGCACAAGCGGUGGAGCAUGUGGUUUAAUUUGAAGCAACGCGAAGAACCUUACCAGGUCUUGACAUCCUUUGACAAUCCUAGAGAUAGGACGUCCCCUUCGGGGGCAGAGUGACAGGUGGUGCAUGGUUGUYGUCAGCUCGUGUYGUGAGAUGUUGGGUUAAGUCCCGCAACGAGCGCAACCCUUGAUUUUAGUUGCCAGCAUUCAGUUGGGCACUUUAAGGUGACUGCCGGUGACAAACCGGAGGAAGGUGGGGAUGACGUCAAAUCAUCAUGCCCCUUAUGACCUGGGCUACACACGUGCUACAAUGGGCAGAACAAAGGGCAGCGAAACCGCGAGGUUAAGCCAAUCCCACAAAUYUGUUYUCAGUUCGGAUCGCAGUUUGCAACUUGAMUGCGUGAAGCYGGAAUCGCUUGUAAUCGCGGAUCAGCAUGCCGCGGUGAAUACGUUCCCGGGCCUUGUACACACCGCCCGUCACACCACGAGAGUUUGUAACACCCGAAGUCGGUGAGGUAACCUUUUUGGAGCCAGCCGCCGAAGGUGGGACAGAUGAUUGGGGUGAAGUCGUA